RNAcentral lists this long non-coding RNA (6928 nucleotides) under Marmota monax (woodchuck). The record is from RNAcentral. Lineage: Eukaryota; Metazoa; Chordata; Mammalia; Rodentia; Sciuridae.
CGAGGACGUCUGUGGUCAUUCCUGGUACACUGCUGGAGUAUCUCCUUGGAAGUUUGGAAGAAAUUAGGCCUACAGUAAGUGAUGUGAAGAUGCUAGAAAUUCUUUGACAGGGAUAGGAGUCAAGAGGCUUAGAGAGGUAGGCGUGUUAGAACUGAUUUACUAUGCAACUCCAAAGAACUACCGUGUGAUGACGUUUCCCAGGAAGACGCAGAGGACCUUUUAUUCAUUCUUUCAUAAGGAAUGCAUCCAUGAGGAGGCAACGGCUUCUGAAGAUACUCAGGGUUGUCUGUCCCAUGGAGGCCAGUUUUUUAUUCAUUUAAUAUAUUUAUUUAUUGGUACUAGGGAUCGAACCCAGGAACUUUUUACCACUAAGCUAAGCUACAUCCCCAGCCUUUUUUUUUUUUUUUACUUUGAGAUAGGUUCUCACUCAAUUGCUUAGUGCCUCACUAAAUUGUUGAGACUGGCUUUCAACUUGUGCUUCUCUUGCCUCAGCCUCCUGAAACCCUGGACAGACACUGUCACCACACCUGGCCCAUAAGCUAGUAUUGACAGGAGAUAGCCCUGAGCAGCUGGGCUCACUGGUGUCAAUAGAGAUGAUAUUUGGAAUUAGACACAGGGGGCAGCAUAAAGUGUCAGAAAGAAAGUUGGUUCUGUGGAAUGAAUUGUCUUAAUUGCCACAGUAAACCUGAAGGAAGACAGGUGGAUGUAAGUAUCCUAAGGGACAACAAAACAAGGCCAGAGUGACAACUGUUGGACUUUGACUUCAUUAAUCUGUGACAAAGGUGAAUAAAAAAGUAAUAUCUUCAUAGCAAGAUAUAUGGGUAUGCAAUAAAGUAUUGCUUAAUUUAUAUUUCUAAACAAGAUAGAGUGAGUCAGCACCACAAAUUAAAAUCAUGGCCACUUGUCCAGUUUUGAUACCUGAGUCAGUUUUCAGAUUUAGAAUGAACUGAUUGAAAGGCCAUGUCCCCCUUGAGGAAGUUCCCUGCAGCAUCAUUGCAAGUAGUUACCAUAACUAUUCAUGAUCCUUCCUCAAAGGGCCAAUUGCCAUUUAUCCAGAGUAAGUUUACACUGGGAAAAGUGAAUACCCAGGCAUUUUUAGGGACAUGAAUAAGUUAUCAUGGAUACCAAGUGACCCAAAACAGCAUCAAUCUCCUAAUUUGAGUGGGGAUGUUUAGAAAUCAAGUGAUAAAUUGAGUCUUAGCCCAAAUCAUAUGCCUUUGGACUUGUUACAACUGAAAGAAUCUUUCCCUGGUUUCCAGUGGAAAAAGUUAAGUAGAAUCCCCUAAAAUGCCUCUCUGAUCUCCUUUCCUGGGCAAAGGUAGUAAAUUUAAGCCAUAAAGCAUCCUGUUUUGUGUCACCUUCAGAAACUAAAAGAAUGCAGGAAUGAACUAGGCCUAGUGGCAUACCCUUGUAAUCCCAGUGACUCAGGAGGCUGAGGCAGGAGUAUCUCAAGUUCAAGGCCAGCCUCAGCAACUUAGCAAGGCCCUGUCUCAAAACAAAAAUUAAAAGAGCUGGGGAUUUAACUCAGUGGUAAAGCCCUUCUGGGUUCAGUCUCUGGUACCAGAAGAAGGAGAAGAAGCAAAUACAAUUGACUCAAUAAGUGAGGUUAAAUCUAUACUUCUUUAGGACAAUGCAGGAGUUCUAUUCUCUAUGAAUACUCACUCAAUUUACCAGGGGUCCUUGCUUAAACUAGGUAGAUGAUGAACAAUGACAAUAGUCCUUGACCACCUGGACAUUCUGGCCAUUGACUCACUAUUUUGAUGACUCUACUGACCUGGUAGCAGAAAGAGGCUAGAGUUCUGAAUGCCAAAGAAAAAUGUUUGUACCUCAGAUGAUGAACACCAACACCCAGAUGAUGGGGAGAACCCUUACAAAGACUCCGAGACCUGACACAUCUAUGGAAUUUUAAGAAAUACAAUAUCCUAGCCCAGGAGUUGGCAAACUACAGCUCACUGUCUGUUUUUUUGUUUGAUCUGCAAGAAUAGUUUCUGCAUUUCUACAUGGUUGAAAAAAAUCAAAGGAAUAUUAUUUUGUGACAUGAAAAUUAUUUUAAACCUUUACACAAUAGGUUAAGUAUUACAAAUGAAGUCUUGUAACACAGCCCCAUUCAUUUGUUUACAUAUGGCUGCAUUUGAGUUCCAACAGCAGAGUUGAAGAUUGCAACAGAGACCAUAUAUGGAACUCUCAUCACAAAAUACUGCUGCUCAGUGAGUCUUAGCAGCAUUUCAUAUGCCAAGCAUAUUUGUUUUAUUUUCAUUUUAUUUUAUACUAACAGUACAUAUCCUUCAAGUCAAAACAAGAAAAAUAGACUUCAUCCAGGUACUGUGGCACACACCUAUAAUUCCAGCAACUAGGGAGGAUAAAGCAAGAAGAUCACAAGUUCAAGGCCAGCUUGGGCAACUUAGCAAAACCCUGUCUCAAAAAUAAAAAGGCUAGAGGUAUAGCUCAGUGGUAGAGCACCCCUGAGUUCCUUCCCCAGUACUGAAGAGGAGGAAGUAGGAGGGGAAGAGAAGGAAAAGAAAAAGAGGAGGAAGAAAAAGAAGGAAAAGAAAAGUAGACAACUUCAGAUGUUGCCGUUUUAACUCACUGCAGCAUGUGGCUUGUUAUUACAUUUGAUGGGGAAGCAUGCAUUUAUUAUAUAUUGACAUUAUAACCAUGCUAAAACUGUAUAAUAUGUCAACAUCACCAGGCUAAGCACUCAUCACAAUGUUUCCAACUCACAAGGAAGAACAGGCAGAAAAAUUUGGAAGUUUAAAAUGGCAUAUCUCAUUAUAGGAGGAUUUCUUUACAAGAAUUACAAAUGUAAAUCAGGCAUGUAGGUGCACACCUAUAAUCCCAGCGACUCCAAAUUCUGAGGCAGGAGGAUCACAGGUUUGAGGCCAACCUCAGCAACUUAGAGAGACCUCUGUCAAAAUAAAAAAGGCUGGGGAUUAGCUCAGUAGUACAGCACAUCUGGGUUCAAUCCCCAGUACCAACAACAAAACAGUCACCUUCUAGAUAGGUUGGUCGACAAAGAUAUUUUAAGAAUCAAAAGGCACCAGGAGCAGUGGCCCACUCCUAUAAUCCCAGCAGUUUGAGAAGCUGAGGCAGGAGUAUCACAAGUUCAAAGCCAGCCUCAGCAACUUGGCAAGGCACUCAGAAAGUUAGGGAGAUUCUGUCUCAAGGAAAAAAGGGGUAGGGAUGUGGCUCAGUGGUUAAGUGCCCCUGAGUUCAAUAUCUGGUACCAAAAGAGAAAAAAAAAAAGGUGAAAAUAGUUGCUUGGCUCAAGAAAAAUCAAGUAUUUGAAACUAUUUCCCAUUUAAAAGGUUAGUUAACCCACAGAUGUAGUAUCAACUUCAUUCCUUACAAUCACCAUUAGUGAAUUUUCAACAUUCAAGUCAAUUCAACCAAUAUUUUAUAGACAAUGUACUGGUAAAUGUGAAAAAAUUAAAAAAUAGUGUUGAAAUGUGGCCCUAAAAAAGAGCACUCACCUCUGAGUGGAGAAUGUGGAUGGCCCUUAUAACUAGCUGGCCCUGAAUUCUUUGACCUUUGACUUUAAUGUCCUUCUUCAGUCUUUUUCAUGUACACACAGACAGGGCCACUCCUGUCGUAUUAUUCUCACCCACUACUCCUCCAUCACUAACAUUUAUAAUUUUCUAGGGGAAGAUGCGUAGUGUCUCACUGGAGGGUUCUUCUGCCCAGAGGAAUCUGAGCCACUCCAAAUACCCACUCUAAAUCUUAAUUUUACAAAUAAUUAAUCUGCCCUAAAUCUUAAUAUCUCAAAUAAUUAACAAAUAAUAAAACACAAACACUCAGAAAUAUGUUUACAAAAGUGAAGUCCCUCAUAGAUCUAGUCCACUUGGGUUCUUAAACUAGACAAAGACAAAAUGGCUCUGGUGGCUUAUUUAAGGGGGUACAUCAAAGGCAGGGGUAAGGUUUCAAGAGUGAAGUCUUGCUUUGUGAUGUCUUGCACUGACAUCUUGGCAGGUCACACCCAUCUCGAGUGCUGUGUGGGAUCUAAGGAAGAGCUUGAGGGGGUGCUACAGGGAGUUCACAAUGCCAGAUCUGUGAUAGUCAAGCCAAAGUGACUCCAUUUUGUUUAGUAACUCCAUUUUGUAAAACAACCAUGCCAAGUGGAAGGGUCAUGACCAGGGCAAGAUGUUCUUUUCCUUUUGCUAUAGAAACCUUUAAGAACACAGAACUACCUAAUGGGGCAUUGUUUCUGUAACUAGGGUAACAGGGCUCUGUUUCUGUAACUGGGGUGGCUGGGCUAACUGUGAUUGGCUAAGCGUCCCUCUGCCUGACUGCACUCUCCCACUUCUCUAACUUGGCUUGCUUGCAUUGGCUGGACCCCCAAACGUCCCUGUUGCAGUGAAGCACCCUUGCAAUUAUUCAGGGCUGAUCAGGGGAACAACUUUAUGUUCUGGUCAGCCGCCACUGGUGUGCUUCAAUAAAGGCUUGAUUUGAUUAUACGUGAGUGGUCUGGAAGUCAAUUUAUGAAACCCGAGGACGAAGCCUUAACUAUAACAUCUGGGGGUUCAUCCAGGAUCCAUUUCUUCCCUACCCUCAUGUCAAAUUUGCCUCCGAUGACAGGCCUUUGGACCUAGGCCCCGGAGUAGAGGGGAGCUCCUGAGAGACAUUCCUCAGCCUCGCUCCGCGGGUGAUUCCAAUCCGUCCUAGGACGCUGAGAAGCCUUCUGCUGGCCUGUCAGAUCUGAUGAGUCAACUCCUCUGGGGACAAGGUCAGAUUGGACGCAGUUGUGUACACCGAGUACUAAGACAGGACACGACAUUGUCACUGUCUCCCUGGAGGCCUCCCUGUGGGGCCUCAUCUGUUCCUGGGGGCAAGAGGAGACGUGGUCUCUGCCCCACUAGAGGUUUCCCUGUGUGACCUCACCGAUUGUUUUUCCUGUGUCUGACUUGUUUGCUGUUUGUCAUUUCUUCAGUGUCUGUCUAUCUUGCCGGCUGUGUCCUGUGUCUAUCUUGUUUGUCUAGCAGUGUGUUGUGCGGGAGCCUUUCUUAUUUUCAUAACCACUCUUCUUUCAUCAGGACUCCUUCACUCCCCCGACAUUAUGGGACAAGGAAGUUCUACAGAGAACUGGCCUCCCUAGGUCACAUCUGACUCUGGUUUAUGUCUUUGUCAGUGUCUUUGUCUGUUGGUUUGUUUUUGUUUGUCCCCUUUGUGUUCUGUGUUAAUUUCUACCUUAGUUUGUUUCUAAUGUUAAUGGUUACAAAGGUUUUAACUGUGCUCACUAAAGCUUGCAUUAAAAUGUAAAGUGCUGUCAACAGACUAAAAGAAUUGUCAAAAGUAAAAGCUAAAGGUAAAAAAGGCAUUCCAGAGAUUGCCUUCAUUUAGGAACUGGGCCAGAUGGUCAACAGGGUACAUCAUGUCAGUUCCUAUAGAGGACAGAUUAAAACUGAAGUGUUUUAUACAAUUAUUAUUCCUGAAUUGUAAAACAAAGCAUAAUUUUGUCUAGGAAAUUUGGCUUUUGUUUCUCAGUAUUUGCAAGCAUGUAUUAACUCCCAACUAUUAAAAAUGAUCUAUUUUUCAAUGUCAGGCUAAAAUUUGGUGGCCACUAUCCAAGAAACCAGAAAAAACAGUUUGAAAUGGGACCCCCAACCUGGGGGACUCUCCCAAGGAGACCAAUGGAGCUGUGUCUUUGGGAAAUUCUUUCUGGGAAAAAUAAGGCCCCUUCAUUUGUCUAUGUUCCCUUAACACUUUCCAGCUUUGAUGAACAGGACAACCUCAGGAAAAAGGUCAGAAAGGCUUUUAAAAUUCCAUAUUUGUUAAAUUCAUGAUUUUGAUCUGACAUUUUUAGGUUAAUAUGUUUUUCUGAUUACACUCUGCUUUAUUCUAAGGCCAAUUUAACAAGGGUUAACUCUCAAUCUAAUAUGUUUUUUUAAAAAAUAAACUACAAGGCUUUUGUUUGUCUGUUUGCUUUGUGUGGAUACACCGGUGUACUGUCCAUCUAUAUGUAUUGCCAUGUCUAUAUAUAUUUGGUACCAAAAAUUGACAUAUGAGCUCAUAAAAAAAUGGAUUCAAAUACUUUUGUUUAAUGUGAUUUAAAAGGUUCAAUUUAAAUUAGGAAAAUAAAUAAAAGUAAAAAUGUCUUUAAAGUUACUAAUGCACAAUUUUGUUUCUAGGUGGUUAAAUAGUUCUUAAAAUGUUAAUGUCUAUAAAAUGUCUGAUAUCCAUUGUCUCUAAAUUACUAAUGCUAUUCAAUGCACUUGUCUGAUACUUUGUUUUUAAAAAAGAUAUGUAAAUUACAUCUGAACAUUUGUGAAAUUAAUCAUGGAUGUGUUUGUUAGAGAUAUCUGAUUGGUUUACAAAGUUAAAAUGCUGUUUAAUAUUAUAUCAAAUACUCUUAACUCCUUAAAUUUCAUAAGGUAAAAUGCUUAAAUAUUGUUGGUAUUUUCAUAUAUUGGUAAAUUAAAAAAUUUAAAAUUACUUUAUAUUAUCACAAGAACAAGGUUACUAUAAAUUAAAAGUCCCAACAGGUACAAUUCUACAUAAGGAGUCAAGAGGUUUCAACUGCAUUUCAAUUAAAGUACUGUAAAUAACAAAAUAUUUUAUCUUAUUAAAAUUGAUUAAUUUAUCUAAAUUCAGAAAUUUAUAAGAGUUGUUUUAAAGUACAAACUGAAAGAAGGUUCAAUGGAUUAAAAAUUAUUAAAAGGUUCUAAAUAUAAAAAUAUAUUUAGUAAAAAAAUGUUUCCAGGUUAAAAAGUCUUUAUGUGGUAAAUUAUAAUUAUAAUACAUCUAAGUAAAUAAUCAAAGGGUUCUAAUUAAGUAAUAUAAAGGUCUAUAAAUAAAAGAUAAAUAUUAAAAGGUUUAUAUGUAACUAAGUUGGUUAUGUAUGUAACCCAAAUAGUUAAAACUAUUCAAGGUUGGUUCCCUAAGGACAAAUAUUAAUGUACUGAUAUAUUUAUAUAUUAAAAUGACAAAAACUUCU